UCCGGCUUGACGCCGGCAGUCCCCCGAGAGUCCUCAGCUUUACCUGCUAGUAACACGGGGCGAGGGUUGCGCUCGUUGCGGGACUUAACCCAACAUCUCACGACACGAGCUGACGACAGCCAUGCAGCACCUGUGUGCAGGUCCCGUAAGGGGAGGAAUCCAUCUCUGGAAACCGUCCUGGCAUGUCAAACGCUGGUAAGGUUCUGCGCGUCGCUUCGAAUUAAACCACAUGCUCCACCGCUUGUGCAGGCCCCCGUCAAUUUCUUUGAGUUUUAAUCUUGCGACCGUACUUCCCAGGCGGCACGUUUAUCGCGUUAGCUUCGCCACGAGAGGGGUCGAUUCCACUCACAGCAAACGUGCACCGUUUACGGCUAGGACUAC
This 381-nucleotide unclassified non-coding RNA is filed under the name uncultured bacterium. RNAcentral's name for it is "contains 16S-23S intergenic spacer region". The record is from RNAcentral.